This 255-nucleotide long non-coding RNA is filed under the name Lathyrus oleraceus (garden pea). RNAcentral describes it as "Pisum sativum (pea) long non-coding RNA (PSAT_LNC029734)". The record is from RNAcentral. Lineage: Eukaryota; Viridiplantae; Streptophyta; Magnoliopsida; Fabales; Fabaceae.
UCAAGUGGUUUAAAAACCAAGCAGCAGCAAGCAAGUUCUUAAAGAACUGUAAGCAACUAAAGGUACCUGAAAACAAUCAAGUAUCAUCAGUACUCAGACAGACAACAAUAAACAGCAAAUGUUAAUCAGUCAGACUAUACAGAUUAAUGCACACAAAGGCAAGCUAUGAGCUCAAGCUCAAACUUCACAACCUACAAAACAAAUCCCAAUUAGUUCUCAACAUCAAACAAUGUCAAUUUAAUCCACUUGGUUCAA